CAAGUUUUUCGACGCAUGUUCCCUUUUGGCAGGGGACUCUGCCAUGCAUACUGGGCUCCAAAUUUUUGGGUAUUUUAUAUUGUUUUUGAUAAAGGGUUCGCUUUGUUGCUUGCAAAACUGGGAUUUAGCAUCCAAGCACCAACCGCUUCAUUUACUGGCGGACUAGUGGGAGACUUGUCUCCUUUUGCUGUGCUACCUCAGUGUCCUGCUAUUCGCUUUUCCCUCUUUUAUUUGAAGCCCAAGAGUAUCCCAUAAAGGUAUUGCUGCUGCUUCUACACUUCAUUGUCAUGUGGUUUGGAUUUUCGUGGCAUUUCUCGAAGACCAAAGUGGUAGAAGCGACUGUACCAGGGCGGAAAAGAGGUGAUAAAUCGAGAUUAAAGGGGAGUUCUGGCACUGCCAAGAAACAAGGGUUUUAUAUCGGAUGGACCAGAAAGUGUUACCUUUUGGGCCUUUUGGCUGUUGAGACAUGGGGACAGUUUCUACAUCCUAUCGUUUUUGGUACCAGGCUUCCCUUCCUACCCCUCAUGAUGAUUUCUAUAUAUUGUUCGUUAGGGAUGAUGUACUCUUUGAUUUGGCAACUAAGAUGGAUCCUUAGGUCCCAUUGAUUCUAUAAAAUAGCUCAGGUGCUACCAGAUGGCACAUUUAAGUUGCCCUUUACACGCACUGUAUGCUUGAAUGCCUGAAUUAUUCAUUUUUGUUCAUCGUAACUUCUUUGUAAAACAGUUUUGCCCCCAAAAAAACAACACAUUUGGAGACUCAAUGGAAGCCUCACAUUAUAGACCGCUGAGAAACUCUGGUGUGGAAUAAUAGGGCAAGAAAAGACUAAGAACCUCCAAAAUUUAUCUUUAAAUCCCUCUUCAUUAAGAGCAUAAAAUGAACAGGGAAGGUGAUUGUGUUUAGAUACUGAUAUAGAAUAUUUUGAGAUUCUGCAUUGAAAUUGAUUGUUGUAGCUAUCAGCAUAAAUGGCUUGUUUAAGGACAACAAAGGCAAUUACUUUCAUUUGUUCACAAAAAUAUUUAGUUAGAUCAAUUAUAUUCAUCAUGAAUUUUCAAUAUUUUCCAAGCUCUUUAUAUAAUCAGCCAGACUUUUGCCUGGAAAAACAAAAGCUGAAAUUUGUUGGACUUCCAUGACAAUAUAUGGGAUGUUCUAUACGUAGAAGAGGGCCAAUUGUGUAUCAUCAACUAGUUCAAUGGGGAUAGAGUGCAUUCAUGGAAUGUAUAGGUUCUCAUUAAAUUCAGUAAUACUUCCAACAUGGCUCUCUUCAAGCUGCUUAGGAUUUUUUACUCAAAUGGAAGAGAAAUGGAAGGAAGUAGUAAUAUUAAUUUAAUAAGAAAAAGAAAAGAAAAUAAUGUACAGUGAUAAUUCCUAACCUCGUGUAAAUUUGAAUAAUUUAGGUAAAUGACAUUCAUCUAAACAAUUGUCACUGUAACAAAGUCUAAGCAAGAUCGAGAACGGUUUAAAUAUCACCUUCCUUGCUGAUUUUAUAGAAGGUGCAAUCGUUUGGAUGAAAUGGGUGGUUUGUCGUAAGAAAUUUUCUUGAACAUCCAUCAGAAUGAAUAUACAUUUUUCUUUUUUUGAAUUUUUAGGUUUAUCAAAUAUCAUGAGAUGCAAAUUCUGUCAUAAAAGCUACAAAUAUCUGUAAUUGUAUCAUAGAUUAGGAUGUGUCUUAC
This is an RNA transcript of Cornus florida, 1670 nucleotides long. It is a transcript of the gene named probable dolichyl pyrophosphate Glc1Man9GlcNAc2 alpha-1,3-glucosyltransferase, with no coding region annotated. The record is from RefSeq and is a predicted model, not a curated record. NCBI's taxonomy places the organism in Eukaryota, Viridiplantae, Streptophyta, Magnoliopsida, Cornales, Cornaceae. The transcript has 2 exons.